AGGGCUGUAGCUGAUUGGCAGAGCAUCUAUCUGCUUUGCAUGCAGAAGAUUCAAAGUUCAAUUCUUGGCAGUUCCA
Molecule: non-coding RNA, 76 nt
Organism: Podarcis lilfordi (Lilford's wall lizard)
Lineage: Eukaryota; Metazoa; Chordata; Lepidosauria; Squamata; Lacertidae
Source: the annotation of a GenBank genome assembly